GCGCAUUUAUAAUAAAAAUAAAUGUUUACAUAUUGAAUUAUGAAUUCAAUUACAAAACUGGAAAAUACAAAUAUCUUCUAAUGGACAUAAUUUGUGUACAAAUUUGCAUUUGACUAGUAUAAUAUGAUAACCAAGGUUGAGUAAUGACACCACAAUAUAUCUUUUGGUGAAAUCUGACAACCUUCUUACAACUGCACCUGGAAAAAAAUCAUUAAACAAUGUAAGUAAACAUAUUUCCCUAUGCAAGUGGAUUAAACCUGAACAAAAUAAUUUCCAUAAACGUGUCCAAUACAAAUGACGCGAUGGUGUUUAAAUCAC
RNAcentral lists this long non-coding RNA (318 nucleotides) under Phaseolus vulgaris (common bean). RNAcentral's name for it is "long non-coding RNA (PVUL_LNC004444)". The record is from RNAcentral. Lineage: Eukaryota; Viridiplantae; Streptophyta; Magnoliopsida; Fabales; Fabaceae.